This is a long non-coding RNA of Sciurus carolinensis (gray squirrel), 1201 nucleotides long. RefSeq lists it as uncharacterized. The record is from RefSeq and is a predicted model, not a curated record. NCBI's taxonomy places the organism in Eukaryota, Metazoa, Chordata, Mammalia, Rodentia, Sciuridae. The transcript has 3 exons.
CGGCUGCAUCGCCCAGUGGCGCCGGGAUCCCUUCCCUCUGGACAGUCAGGACGCACGUCCUAGACACCAGAGCCAGCCCCUGCAGGAGCUCGACUCGACAGUUCUCCAAUAGCAAGUAGGGAAACCAGGAGUGAGAUUCCUCUUCCCGCAGACGCUUUCUCUCGCUCCUAUCUUUUUCAUUCUUCCUUAACCAGUUCCUAGAAACAUCUACCCAGGCUAAUUCAUUUCUGCUCUUGUAUAUGCAAAACAAGGUCAGGUCGCUUCCAGUCCCGUGUUGCGCCUUGGUUUUGUACCUCCUUUCAGUAAGCAUCCAAGUUUUCUCUUCCUGGGCUUCAUUACACUGCCAAUUGAAUGUAAAGGCUUUUGAAACAGUUGAAUUUGAAGUAUCCUGAGGCUUAACUGCAUUGCCAACAAGUAAAAACCUGUCAUACAGUCCGUGGUGUUAAGGAAGAAGCAAGUUAAGUUUAAAGAAAAAGAAACUCAUCGUAUUACCAGAAAAAGUGCCAGACAUCAAUUUUAUCUGGCAACCAUCAAAAUACAUCAGACCACAAAACUAUACAUUCCUGGACCUCACAAGGAGCAUGGUAAGGAAUUGCAGCGAGCCAACCCAAGUGCUCAGCUACACCACAUCUGCAGUCUACAGUGUGGGUAGUGCCCGACGUUAACCACUGCAACCAAGAACGUGCAACAGCAAGAUAAAACAAAAUUUUAAAUUUUAAAAGUAACGGGUGGAAAUUUCAAAUCCACCUCCUCAGCUUCUGGUUUAAGAUCACAUAGCAUUAUUUAAUUCCCCAUCACACUGAACUCACUUUCAUUAAAAAAAAAAAAAAUACAGGAAGCCCAUGAAAAUGAAAUUUUUGUUUGCAACUGUAUUACUUUAUGAGACAGCAAAUGACAAAAAACAUGGGGAUUUAGGUCAGAGAACAGUUUUCCUGAUUGCCAGGUUGGUGGAACUUGUGUUACUAGAGUAUGUAUACUGAUAAUUGAUGUACACAGGGACCUCAAACAGGAAGUGUCCUUGGAACCUCAAGUCUAUCCAAUAGUCAUUUAUUCAACACCUACUGUGAAAAAUACAGUGGGGGUUAUGGAUUACAAGGGGCUGCCUGCACAGAAUUUGCAUUCUGGCUACAGAAGGGAAUGCCAAAGAGUUCAAAAAAGUGGAGACAUGUGGGCAGAGAGGAGAGGAGCAGGGAUGUUUACU